Molecule: long non-coding RNA, 1472 nt
Organism: Megalobrama amblycephala (Wuchang bream)
Lineage: Eukaryota; Metazoa; Chordata; Actinopteri; Cypriniformes; Xenocyprididae
Exons: 2
Source: RefSeq, a predicted model, not a curated record
AGAGUUAAAAAUGGAGGCGUAACUCCAAUUUUUGUUCGUGGUUCCGAGAAUAUCGCAUUAAUUAGAAUGACACAUAGUGUUUAAGCAAGGCCUAUCAUAUUCUUGUCACAACGUGAAGGUGUAAGUCCUCCUGGCUUUGAUAAAACAGCCCCCGAGGGUGUAGAUUUUCAAACGCAGAAUUCCCCUCAUUCAAUCAGACAUGAGUAAGAUGCGUAGGCGGUUGAUUUCAUCAUCAAGGGAUGAUGCAGACAUCCAGUUUUCAAUUUAAAUCACAUUUAUGUUGGAUUUUAUAGGUUUGGACAACUUAUCCAGAAUUACGUUGUUCACAGGAAGGUGUCGCAUGGUGUCAGUGGUCAUCCAGAGUGAAGAAGGGACUUUACAUGCUGUGUGUCUGUGGUAUUUACUUGUGUGAUUGAAGACACAAGGUCAGUGGUAUCCUAGUGGUUUAGGCAUUGGGAUGAUAUCAUAAAUGUUCUGGGUUUAAUCCCAGAUCACACUUCUCUUGUGACCUAUCACAAAACACUUAACUUCAGGUUUAUAGUUCCUCACAUGUCUGUAAAAAUAAAGAAAGAAAUAAACCACAAUGAAAUGACUCUCAUAUUGAGAUCACAUUUAAGUUCAUGCCAGAAUGAUCUGCUCAUCAUGAGUCACAAUCAUGCUUUGCUCAUACUUUUUUUUUUUGGCUUUUUGUUUUACAUUAUAUUAUUGCAUCACAGCCUAGCUGUAUAAAUAGCUGAAUUUAUACAACUUCUAGGGAAAUUAUUAAGAAAUCGGAACUGACAAUUUAAGUCAGUCUAAAACUAUCUGGUUAAUUAUAACAACAUCCGUUUAGUCAUAGAGUUCUACCACAGAUACACCCACAGAUGCUUAAAAAUGGCAAGAGCUCACUUAAAACUGCAAGCCUCCAGUCAUAAUAGAUGAUGUUUUGCAAUGACCAGGAGUCAGGAAAUGCACAGGAAACAUGGAUGUUUACAAGAAACCAAGCUGCAACAAUUAGCACGUCUGAGGAAGAGGUUAAUAAUUGAAGACAAUGAGUCUAUGCAAGAUAUUGAAAAGUUUGAGGUGCCUUGUUGCAACAGUCCUUCAGUACACCAGUAUAUUCCACAAGGCUUUCAGAGUCAUGUAUUGACUAUAUAUUUGACUAUAUAUUUCCAAACAUUCGAAAUAUUUGGAAAACUUCAGAAAUCAUUCUAAUAUGCUGAUGUGCUGCUCAUAAAGCAUUUCUUAUUAUCAUCAAUGUUAAAAAAACAGCUGCUCCAUAUUUCAGAUUCUUUGAUGAAAAAAAGAAUAACAUUAUAAAUGCCUUUAGUGUCACUUUUGAUCACUUUAAUGCAUCCUUGCUGAAUAAAAGGAUUGUAUAUUAUGCAGUGUUUUACAAAAGCAGUAAGGUAUGAGAGGCUGUUCUAUGUUGUAAACUCUGCUGCCUUGUUGUUGCUUAAUUAUGCAUUACAAUAAAUAUCAUGAGCUCAUAA